UUUAAACACAAUCAAACAUUCUCACAAGCAGGUUAACAUCACAAGGGCUUUUCAUGGAUUGUAACUUGGCUGGGCUAAGAAGGAAAUUGGUUUUUCUGGUCAGCAAAGUUCCUUGACUUAAGAGAGACAUUUAUGAAUUUGUCAUUCAAGAUCAACUCUCUUUCUUUUUCCCAGCUUUCCCUUACUGUGAGCUGAUGAGUCGUUAUUUCUUGAACCAUAUUUAGUUUAUUGCACUUAAAUAAACCAUGGAAUUGUGUUUAAUUGUCUGUUAUUUCCCCGUUUUCCGAAUUCUGCUUAAUUUGGUCGGAAAUUCAUAUUUUCGCUAAUUUGGAUAUUUUGAGCUGAUUAAGCGUAUUUUUGGUUACAGGGAAAUUGUGGAAAUAUCAUCUGGAGCAUUAGGAUAUGGCGUGGCACAUUCAAGACUCAAUAUUUAGUCAUUUAGAUUUUAAUUAAAGUUGUAAUUUCGUUUUCUAGAAGCCCUUGAUUAGAAUUAGGUGUUUUGGACCCUUUUAAGGGCAUUUUUGUAAAAAACCAAUUGUGGGGGCCAUGUGGCAUCUCUUUAGGGCUGACUUGUAGUGUGUGGACCCCACCAAAUGUGAAACUCUUGGUAUUUGGGGUGUGAAAACUGAGCCACACAGAGAAGAGACCCAUAGCUCAUGGUUUUUGCUUCUUUCUUCUAGGGUUUCUCUUGUUUUGAACAUGCUCUCAUGGGUGCUUGCUUGGUGCACGGUUUUGGACCAUUUUCAAUGAAUAUUAUGAAGAUUUUCUUCUUCCCUUGACUCACUCUUGGUUGUCUUAACUCAUUGGUGGUGAAAAUCCAUUCAUUCCUCCUUCCAUUUGCUUGUUUUUGAUGUUUGAAGCUUAAGUUUUUAAGCUUGUCUUUGCUUUUCUAUGGUGGUUGUUGGGUUUGAGUGACUUUAUAUUUUCGUUUCCUCUUCCAUUGGUGUUGUUCCUCACGUUUUUCUUUGCAUUUUAUUUGGUUGGUUGAUGAAAAUGGAAUUCUAUGUGAGUUUUGGGUUGAAUAGAGCUUAACUUGAUGUGUGGGUGUUGUGGGUUUGGCUCUUUUCCUUCAUAUUUUGGUUUUGAUGUUUGAAACUAGUUUGGAACCAGACUUUGAUGAUCUUAUUGGGGCUGGACAGUGGUUGAGUUGAAUGGUAUAAUGAUAUUUUCGUUUUUUGCACAAGAGCUUGAAAAAAUGGAAGAUUGGGUUGAGUUGAAGUAGUAAUAGUGUGGGUUUAUUGUCUUGAAUGGAGUUGCAACUUCAAAUGGGGUCUCUUGGGUGCUCAUUCUUGCUAUUGAGGAGAGGAAGAAAGAUUAUGAAGGUGUGUGUUGGUGAAGGAAACAAAAAUGGUGUGUAGAAAGGAGAGAGAAUGAUGCAUUAAUUUUUUACCACUUUUGGGCAAACAAAAAAGAUGCUUAUUUUCAUUCUAGGAAGAUUUCCAUUUUGAGCUUUGGCUUUGUUUGAAUUCCAGCCAUGAAUUGCCUUUGCAUGGGAGGUCUUUGGUUGUUUAAUUUCAUUUGGUCUUGCCUACAUGGCACUUUGGUUGGAGCACACAAUGUAUCUUCCAUUUGCACAUGGAUUUUUGAAGUAUUUUUUGUAGGAAUCACUUGGUAGGUUAGGCAUUUUGUGGUCUAGUAGUGUGGAUUUCGAAUUUUGCUGCAUGGAGAAGACUAAGGAAUGGUUUUCAUUUGGAUGUUUAAGUAUAUUUUAAUUUCGUUUGAGAAUUGGUGCACAUGGGACAAAAGACAACACAUUUGGUGGUUAAAUGAAAAUAGAAUUUUGAAUUUGGACCUUUGAAACAUCACUAACGGCCAUGUGCUUUUAUUUGGCCAAUUGGACUUUUAAAUUCAUUUGUUAAUUGUCAUUGUUUCAAGUGAUUUGUUAGGAUUAAAUUAGGCUUGUUGGUUUCUUUUGUUUUCAAUUAAAUUGCUUAGUAGGUUGAGUUGUUUUUAUGUGUUUAAGUUAGUUUUGCAUUUAAUUAUUUUUAACUGUGUUUGCUAAUUAAUUGGUAGCAAUGUUUGAUGUUUAGAUGUUGUCUAAUUUGUUUAGUCGACUCAAUUUAAUUUCCAUGGUAGCUUN
This 2080-nucleotide long non-coding RNA is filed under the name Vigna radiata. RNAcentral's name for it is "long non-coding RNA (VRAD_LNC010155)". The record is from RNAcentral. Lineage: Eukaryota; Viridiplantae; Streptophyta; Magnoliopsida; Fabales; Fabaceae.